UCCUACGGGAGGCAGCAGUAGGGAAUCUUCCACAAUGGACGAAAGUCUGAUGGAGCAACGCCGCGUGAGUGAUGAAGGGUUUCGGCUCGUAAAACUCUGUUGUUGGAGAAGAACAGGUGUGAGAGUAACUGUUCACAUCUUGACGGUAUCCAACCAGAAAGCCACGGCUAACUACGUGCCAGCAGCCGCGGUAAUACGUAGGUGGCAAGCGUUGUCCGGAUUUAUUGGGCGUAAAGCGAGCGCAGGCGGUCUCUUAGGUCUGAUGUGAAAGCCUUCGGCUUAACCGGAGAAGUGCAUCGGAAACCAGGAGACUUGAGUGCAGAAGAGGACAGUGGAACUCCAUGUGUAGCGGUGAAAUGCGUAGAUAUAUGGAAGAACACCAGUGGCGAAGGCGGCUGUCUGGUCUGUAACUGACGCUGAGGCUCGAAAGCAUGGGUAGCGAACAGGAUUAGAUACCCUGGUAGUCCAUGCCGUAAACGAUGAGUGCUAAGUGUUGGAGGGUUUCCGCCCUUCAGUGCUGCAGCUAACGCAUUAAGCACUCCGCCUGGGGAGUACGACCGCAAGGUUGAAACUCAAAGGAAUUGACGG
Molecule: ribosomal RNA, 588 nt
Filed under: uncultured Lactobacillus sp.
Lineage: Bacteria; Bacillati; Bacillota; Bacilli; Lactobacillales; Lactobacillaceae
Description: bacterial SSU rRNA
Rfam family: Bacterial small subunit ribosomal RNA
Source: RNAcentral